Molecule: ribosomal RNA, 119 nt
Organism: Betta splendens (Siamese fighting fish)
Lineage: Eukaryota; Metazoa; Chordata; Actinopteri; Anabantiformes; Osphronemidae
Source: Ensembl
GCUUACGGCCAUACCACCCUGAGCACGCCAGAUCUCGUCUGAUCUCAGAUGCUAAGCAGGGGCGGGCCUGGUUAGUACUUGGAUGGGAGACUGCCUAGGAAUACCAGGUGCUGUAAGCG